GCUGGACCCUCUGCUGGAGGGCAGGCUGACUGUGGAGGGAUCGGAGCUCAGCAUAAAGAAGGUCCAAGUGGCAGACUCAGGUGUCUUCAAAGUGACAGACCUGGAUGGGUUUCCCGUGGCUCAUGUCUACAUCGAGGUAGAAGAGCCUGCAGCCUGUAGCCCAUUCAACAUAUUGUGGUGGAUGUUUUCUUGUUAGCAGCAGGAGUGCGUGUCAAAAAACACAAGAUAAAACUAAUAAAGACUAUUUGAGAAAUAAACCAAAGUUUGGUCUUUGAGUAUUUAUUUACAUUUGCAAAUGCAGGAAAAUAAUUUCACAGGUACCAAAGCACAACUGAAAGAGUCUUCUCCAAAAAUAAAGUUCAGCACCUCUUUAUAGUAGAAAACCCAGUUAAAGCCACCCCUCUUUAGGAUGUCUUUAGCAGGGACAAUUAGUUGCAUCAACAUAAACAGUCAAAUCAUUUUACAACCUUCCCUUCUGGUCCUGUUCCUAACAUUAGUCACAACACCUCUUAAUCUCAGCUGCCAGGAACAGGAUGGAUCCAUCUUAAGAGACACAGUUCACAUUUGUUUAUGGCCUAUUUCACCCUUAUCUGCUAAAAUUAAAAUAGAAUGAGAGACGGAGGUCCUCUAAUGAAAAUAACUUCAAAUGGGCUCAAGGUUUACGAUUUCAGCUGUUUCACUUGGAGACUCUGAGUCUACCAAAAUGUAGGAAUAUAAAGGAAAUCAAGUAUAAUAAUCAUGUUAAAAUAACCUUUUGCCAUUACAAUAUCACGCAACCGUAAUUUCGAAUUCUGUAAAGUUGUCAGAGGUGUGUUUGAUUGAACUCCUGACAAACAAAUCAACUUUACCAAGAUGCAUUUUCAAAGUUUUAUCGCAACAGCAGCAGGAGAAGGAUUAAUCUCAGACGCCAGCCAACGUCAUGAGGAGGAUCCCACACUGCAAAUGUCCUGAGCCCAGAUCAGGUCUUGGUCUGUUGCCCAUUCCCUGAUAUGUUC
This is a long non-coding RNA of Perca fluviatilis (European perch), 995 nucleotides long. RefSeq lists it as uncharacterized. NCBI's taxonomy places the organism in Eukaryota, Metazoa, Chordata, Actinopteri, Perciformes, Percidae. The record is from RefSeq and is a predicted model, not a curated record. The transcript is spliced from 2 exons.